GUUUUUCAUCAGCUUUUUUGUUAGGGUUCAUCUUUUAUUCUCCUCAGUACCAAUUUCGGAUCGAUUUAUGUACGAUCGAUAUUCAGAGAAUUGCUUUUUUUUUUUUUUUGAAUUUCUUGAAAUAUGAGUUUAGAUAGUUCUACAAUUUGUAUGAAUAAGUAACUUUGUUGGUUUUUGUCAAAAAAAAAAGUAUCUUUGUUGAUUGGAAUACCAAACUAUAAAGCAUGAAUAAGUACCUUUCUUGCAAAUUACAAUCCAAAAUCUGUCAGUCCUCUCUUCUCUAUCAAAAGGUAAAACCCUAAAACCAAAAAAAUCUGCCGCCACAGACCACAACGCAGCCUCCACCGCCGGCCAGUCGCCUACCCGAGCCACCGCCUUCCCCCAGUCUCUGCCGCCUGUGUGUUUGACUUCUGUUGGGCAUGGCUGUCACCACUCACCAUUUACAAAAUAAACCCUAAAAAUCAGUUUUAAGCACUUGUUUUUUUCUGGAUCUGCCACUGGUUGCCGCUAGAAAUCUGGGUCUCGUACCGUCUUGGUAUGAAUGUUACGAAACGUUGUCCUGUGCAACAUCCGACGUAAAAUUUUUGCCCUUAAUUGUGCAUUGGAGUACCAAAAUUUCUACAUAAUUCCAAAACGGUAUCAUGGGCAAAUAUGAUUUUGUAGAAGAAUUAUCUGGUAGUGACAAUGAUGACUUGUUACAAGAGGAGAUUCAAACUCUUUCAAGGGAAUGCUUUCCUUCUAAUAACUUUGAUGGUGCUAGCAUUCCCGCCACUGCCACUACCUGUUCGGUUAACGAUGGUAGAUAUCUCUCGGAAGAUGAAGAUGACGAUGAUGGUGAUGACAUGGAAUUAGUUCGUAGUAUAAAGGAACAAUAUGGGAUUGAAGUUGAUAUUUCUAAGCCACUUUCUUUGAAACCCUUGAUUUCUCUUCCACCAGCAUCUUCGGAUGAUGACGAUGAUGAUUUUGAAACUCUGCGAGCUAUUCAGAAGCGUUUUUCUCAGUAUGGUGAUGACAAAUCCACGGAUGCAGUGGAAUGUAAGAAUGACAGUUGUGUAGACAAAACACUCCAUGAGGAUGUCAUUGCCGCCUCUUUGGGAAGUGAGUUCAUAUAUGUACAUGGAAAUGAUUUAGGAGAAAACACUUGUGAUGUUCCGCAGAAUGUGGAGACCUCUAGUUGCACCUCUAACUUCCCUAAAAGUGCACAAACAUUUGUAGAAGCCAUAAAGAAAAAUAGAUCAUGCCAGAAAUUUAUUCGAAACAAGAUGCUUCAUAUUGAAGCAAAAAUGGAAGCAAACAGAGCGCUUCAAAAGCGCCUGAAAACACUUAGAGACUUCCAAGUGCAGUGCAAGAAGACAAUUGGUCGAGCAUUAUCUCAGAAGCAAGACUCUCGUGUCCAGCUAAUUUCAGUUCCAAAGCAGAAACCUAACACAAAGGGUUCUGAGAAAAAUGUUUCUGCCAUAUAUUACGGUCCAUUAGAGAACUCCCAUGUGGCUUUGUACAAGACUACUAUGAAAAAUUAUCCAUUAUUAUUUCAGCGGGAGAAAUGGUCAAAGAAUGAAAUUCGAGUUCUUGAGAAAGAAAUUAUAAAGCAAUUUCAGGAAAAAUUGUUCCAAACAUCUGCUGAUCUACUAAGUAAUUUUGAUGAUCAUGGGCUUGCUAAUGGCGUGGAUGACAUGAUUUCAUCAAUCACGAAUCUUGACAUUACUCCAGAAAUCAUCCAAGAGUUUUCUAGGAAGGUAGAUUGGAAUAAAUUGGCUUCUAGGCUUCCUCGUCGUUCUGGAGUCGAAUGUGAGGCAAGGUGGUUAAAUUAUGAAAACCGCUUGAUCAACCGAGACAAUUGGACAUCAGAUGAGGACAAGCAUCUUUUGCUUCUCCUUCAGAAGAAUGGGAUCCAUAACUGGAGUUAUAUUGCUGAAAAGUUGGGAACUAACCGGACUCCAUUUCAGUGCUUGGCACGCUAUCAAAGGAGUCUGAAUGCCAGUAUAUUGAAAAGAGUGUGGACAGAGGAUGAAGAUGCUCAAUUGUGCUCUGCUGUGGAGGCUUUUGGGGAGAGUAAUUGGCAAGCUGUUGCGUCUGUUUUUGAAGGACGGACGGGGACGCAGUGCUCUAAUAGGUGGCGCAAAACUUUGCUUCCUGCUAGACAAAGGGUGGGGAGAUGGAGUACUGAUGAAGAUAAACGCUUAAGGGUUGCUGUCACUCUUUUUGGAUAUAAAAGUUGGUAUCGAAUUGCUCAGUUUGUACCAGGAAGGACCCAAGUCCAAUGUAGAGAAAGAUGGGUUAAUGUUCUCGAUCCGUCUUUGAAACACGGUGAAUGGACCAAAGAAGAAGAUAUGAAGCUAAAAGAGGCUAUAUCAGAAUAUGGAUAUUGCUGGUCCAAAAUUGCUGGAUGUGUUCCUUUAAGAACAGAUAACCAGUGCCGAAGGAGAUGGAAGAAGUUGUUUCCAGAUGAAGUUCCGUUGCUCAAAGCUGCAAAACACAUAAAAGAGGUGGCACUGAUCUCCAAUUUUGUGGAUAGGGAGUCAGAGCGUCCUGCCCUUGGGAUGAAUGACUUUGUCCCAUUACCUAUUACAAAUUCAGCAAAUGAGAUGAAAAAAGAAAAGAAAUCCCAAACACGAAAAAGGAAAGGUAGGCAAUUAACUCCAAACACACAGAGCAUUUCGCAUCUGAAAGGAGUUGCAUCAAGAAAGCGUAAAAGAAAUGAUAAAUCAAGUGGGGUUGCUAAUAAUAGUAAUGAUGCAUGUAGCACUGAUGGGUACGGUAUCCUUGAAAAUAAGAAGUUUAGUCCCAUUAGAUCUGAUUCUAAGAAAAAGAAGCAUUGUGGAAACCUGAAUGCUACAAGAAAACCUUUGAAGUCAGGUAAAAGCAUACACUCCUAUGAGGGCAUUGCAGAAGAGACCAAUUGUAGGAACAUGCCAUUCAAGACCAGGUCAAGAAGGCCUGAAGGAAACAGUUUGAAGCAGAUAGAGGAUGGAAUCCAGGCAGAUGUGUCUAACAUGGUUACUGUGGGAAGGAAUAAAAGGUCCUCACGAUUGCAAUUAAGGAGUUCUUUUGCUGAAACUUCUUUUGGAGAUAACUAUGAGCAGACGGAGUUGAGAGAUGGUAAUGAGACCCAUUCUAUGGAUACAGCUGGCUCAAGUAAGGAAAAAGCUGUUAAGAAAAAGAAAAGGGAGCUGCAUACUGAUCAAUCUUUAGAAUGGGAAGAUUUGCCCUUGUCAAUUCUCUUAAAGAAAGAUAUUACUCACAAACAAAGGAGUAUUUCCAAUUUGACCUCCAAACCUCCUGUCAAACCACCCAUAUACUUGACUUAUGCGAGGCGGAACAGAAAGAGCAAUUUGGAAAAUUUGACAUAAUGCUGUUAGGGUGUAUCGGAGUGAGUUGUGCAAGCAGGGGAUGAGUUCAAGAACUAUAUAAAGGAGGAGAAAAUGCUACAGGCUUCCAAAUUCAGCAGACUGAAAAAUGGUGAAGAAAUCCCUUUAAGACCUCAAUUCAAUUGAGGUUCAGGAAAAUGUUGGUCAAGCAGAUCUUUAUUUGUAGAUGAUCCAAGGUCAUCUUCAUUCUUGUCCUUUGGAUGAAAAUUUGGCUAAAGAUGAGAUGCUAGCUGCUAGCAAUCUGAAUUCUUUAAGGAGCUCAAGACAACUAUUGCUCUUUCCCCUACCACAAGGCUUAAAUGGCUUGGCUGCAUUAUGAUGAUGAUAACACAAAACUCUUCCAUCAAAGUAUUCAGCAGACGAUCUAGGAAUAAUAUCAGAGUUUUUGAUUCUAUUAGUGGUGCUAUUACUAAUAUGGAGGGGAUCCUGAUAUGGAGGGGAUCCGAGAUCAGCAAAGCCUUUUGUAGCUAUUAUGGAGAUCAGGAAGGCUCUGUCUACAAAUGGAUAUCAUUAACCUUGGUCAUAAACUGACCAAGGAUCAGCUUCAUCUCCUUGAUUUCAACUUCACACCUGGUGAUAUUAAGGCUCCUCUUGUCAAUUCCUGAUGACAAGUCUACUGGUUUAGAUAGCAUCAACAGCUGUUUAUUUAAGAAAGCCUGAAAGAUUAGGCAAUAAAGUCUCCUUGAGGCUUCUUACGGAUGGCUUAAACCUGUUCUUGAUUCAUCCAGCUGCUAUUUACACCAUUGGCCUUCCUCCAGAUCUGGUCAAUAGAUAAAAGAUCAAUCCUCGCUAAACUUGAGAUUAUAGAUGAUAAAAGACUGCUGUCUGCCACAGUGCCGAGGAAAUACAAUAUCAUGAGGAGAGCUUCAAAUAUUAGAAUUGAAGCUGUAAUCAACAAUUCCACUGCAGGGUCCCGAAGAACUGUUAUGAAUGUUUCUGGAAUUUUAAGUCUUUCUCUCCUUUUGUCAUCGAUCAAGUUAAGUGUAAUGUUUAAGUUAGAUCUUGAUGGUUUAUUUGAAAAAAGAUCAUCUAAAAAGAUCAAAUGUGGCCUGACUUGAGAGGAUUCUCCACUUUGUUGUGGUUGUUUUCUCGCUUGUUGGAAUAUGAAAUAUUUUUAAUUUUUGUAUGUUGCACUUAGCAUUGUGUGUAGUUUCAUAUCCUCUUCAUAUUUUCACAUUGGGAUGUGUAUAUUCAUCGAUGGGAGGAUAUACAACACUCCAUUCCAAUACCCCAAAUGCCAUCAAGUAUCGAAAUUUGAAAUAGAUAAGUGAUUUUAUCCAAAAAAAAAGCAUGUAAUAAGAUACUUUUAAACUUAAUUCCAUUUAUAAGCGUGAAAUUUCCAAGCCAUAAGAUCGGUAUAUGUUCGCAGUUACUGCGAACAGGUGUGUUAAUAAAAAAAAUUAAGUUGUUCGCACUUAGUAACUGCGAACUAAAUGUUUGACUUUUCUUGACCAGAAUGUUUGUUCGCAGUUACUAAUUGCGAACCAACUCGAGGCUAAAUUCAGAAGCUGUCUUUUCUUCCUCAUUCCCCCAAAUUUCAGAAACACAAGCCUUAAAGUUUUCGACAUUUCCCUCUUAAAAACCUCCAUUAAACUAG
Molecule: RNA transcript, 4965 nt
Organism: Amaranthus tricolor (Joseph's coat)
Lineage: Eukaryota; Viridiplantae; Streptophyta; Magnoliopsida; Caryophyllales; Amaranthaceae
Exons: 17
Source: RefSeq, a predicted model, not a curated record